This is a non-coding RNA of Triticum aestivum (bread wheat), 125 nucleotides long. NCBI's taxonomy places the organism in Eukaryota, Viridiplantae, Streptophyta, Magnoliopsida, Poales, Poaceae. The record is from Rfam.
UAGAUACUCCCUCCGUCCAGAACUACUUGUCUUAGAAAUGGAAAAAAAUGGAUGUAUCUAUAACUAAAAUAAGUCUAGAUACAACCAUUUCGAGGACAAGUAUUUCCGGACGGAGGGAGUAUCUU